AAAGAUCUUAGCACAUCCAAGAGUGUGAAGACAUCCCUGGCAAAAAGAGGACUGUAACAAUUUAUCAGCUUGCUUGUCCCUCUGGAGGCGGGAGAAGGAGAGAGGGAAAGGCUGGCGAUCCUGGAAGUCCUCGAGAAGAAUGAGCUAUCGCUGCUAUCAUCAUGAGAUCACACACAUAAAACACUUUCAGGUGAGGAAAGAGAGGCCUAGAGGAGAAGGGACUUGGAGUGAGGACGGACUACAUCCACUGACCAAAGAUCCAACCCGCCACAGAGGGGCGAGUGACUUAGCCAAGGUCACACAGCUGCUGACCACCCCAGGAUCUGAACCCAGGAGUCUCUGGUUCCUUCCACUACACCCCAUCAGCUCUGGGCUUCAGGGCAGGUCCUGGGGACUGUGGUUUCACUGGCUCGAAGACCUUGGAGAAUUGGACAGCUCCCAGGUAAUGGAGGACACCCUCAUCACGCCUCAUUCUGCUAAAUCACCCUGGCCCUGCUGUGUCUCUCGGAGCCGGGCAGCACUGACCAAAGUGACUGUGAAGGUCUAUCAUUGGUUUAGAGGAGCUCCAAAUGCCCGCCAAUUAGUGGUGUUUGGUAAGUAGCAGUCAGACAUACCUGGCUUCGCGAGACAGAAGGAAGGUGAGCCCUGCUCAGAAGUGAAACCUCAGCUCCACAGCACUGUAACAUGCCUGGAAGACGGAUAUACCAUUUUCUUAGCCAUCCCUCACUAGCCAGGAAAGCAGAGGUGGUUUUUCACUUGAUCUAUAGCUCGGAGACACCUUCGGAGAUUUUAGAGAGUGUUAGAAUACUCACUCACUCUGCCCGCCUUCAAGCAUCAAUAACUAUUUUCAUUGAAACAAUUCUUUUUAUUAUGAGGUAUGGCUCUCCUGGAGAGGGGAAGGAAGCUUGAUUGUAAGAUGUAAAUGAUGUAAGAAAAGAUAAUAAAAUACAUUGAA
Molecule: non-coding RNA, 955 nt
Organism: Phascolarctos cinereus (koala)
Lineage: Eukaryota; Metazoa; Chordata; Mammalia; Diprotodontia; Phascolarctidae
Source: RefSeq, a predicted model, not a curated record